GCAAGUCGAACGAAGUAGCAAUACUUAGUGGCAGACGGGUGAGUAACAUGUAGGUAUCUUCCCUUUGGCCUGGAAUAACACGAGGAAACUUGUGCUAAUACCGGAUAAGUCUUUACGGAGAAAGCUUUAUGCACCAUUGGAUGAGCCUGCACUUGAUUAGUUUGUUGGUGGGGUAAUGGCCUACCAAGACUUUGAUCAAUAGCUGAUUUGAGAGGAUGAUCAGCCACAUUGGGACUGAGACACGGCCCAAACUCCUACGGGAGGCAGCAGUGGGGAAUCUUGCACAAUGGAGGAAACUCUGAUGCAGCGAUGCCGCGUGAGUGAAGAAGGCCUUUGGGUUGUAAAGCUCUUUCGUCGGGGAAGAAAAUGACUGUACCCGAAUAAGAAGGUCCGGCUAACUUCGUGCCAGCAGCCGCGGUAAUACGAAGGGACCUAGCGUAGUUCGGAAUUACUGGGCUUAAAGAGUUCGUAGGUGGUUGAAAAAGUUGGUGGUGAAAUCCCAGAGCUUAACUCUGGAACUGCCAUCAAAACUUUUCAGCUAGAGUUUGAUAGAGGAAAGCAGAAUUUCUAGUGUAGAGGUGAAAUUCGUAGAUAUUAGAAAGAAUACCAAUUGCGAAGGCAGCUUUCUGGAUCAUUACUGACACUGAGGAACGAAAGCAUGGGUAGCGAAGAGGGUUAGAUACCCUCGUAGUCCAUGCCGCAAACGAUGUGUGUUAGACGUUGGAAAUUUAUUUUCAGUGUCGCAGCGAAAGCGAUAAACAC
Molecule: ribosomal RNA, 762 nt
Filed under: uncultured marine bacterium
Lineage: Bacteria
Description: bacterial SSU rRNA
Rfam family: Bacterial small subunit ribosomal RNA
Source: RNAcentral